UGGUGGCAUCUCUGUGUCCUGGUGCCAUCAUCCCUAGGGCUGGUGGUGGCAUCUCCAGGGCUGGCAUCGUUCUCCCCGUGCUGCUGGUACCUGCAGGGCUGGUGGCACCUCCCCACCCGUGUGUUGGCAUCUCCAUGGCUGCUGCUAUUGACAUCCCCAUGGCUGUUGGUGUCAUUUCCAUGGCUGUUGUUGGUGUCAUUCCCAUGGCUGUUGUUGGUGUCAUUAUUCCCAUGGCUGUUGUUGGUGUCAUUAUUUCCAUGGCUGCUGUUGGUGUCAUUAUUUCCAUGGCUGCUGCUGGUGACAUCUCCAGAGCCGGCGGCAUCUCCCCGUGCCGGUGCCGUCCCCGUUGCUGGUGGUGCUGCCGUUGGCCGCCCCGGUUGCGGUGGCAGCUCAGACGUUGCUGAUGCGGACGCUGAGUGGGGCUCCCUCACGCUCCGCCGCCUCCCGCAGCGUCUCCUCCAGCUUCACCUUCUCGGGGUCCCCGAACCGCACGGUGUCGCGGACGCAACACGGCGCCGCCACCUUCACCACCUGGUCGAAGAGGCUGAAAUCCGCCACGUAUUUCCCGCUGGCCGACAGCGAGAUGGCGGGGCUGAACUCGUAUCCCCAGAGGAUCUCCUCGGGCAGGUAGGACGUGCGCACCUGGCACGUGGCGCUGGUGGACUCCACGGUGCCGCUGAGAAUCACCACCAGCUCAAAGUCCCCCUCGCCCGCCCGCAGCGCCGCGUCGCGGAAGGGGCUGGCGUCGUCCACCACGUGGUAGAAGGUGAGGGGCAGGAUGAGGAAGGGGCUGUCGGACGACGUGUCCACCUGGAAGUCCACGUUGAGCUGGUUGAGCCGCACGCUCUCGCCCUCCUUGGUCAGGUGCGUCUGCAGCAGCUUCCCCGUCACCUGGCAGCCGAUCAGGAGGCUCUUGCGCAUGUUGGCCACGCGGAUCAUCAGGCAGGUCUUGCCGUCGUGCUGGGCCACCACGGCGUUCUGGCUGAACUUGAUGGUCUCCGCUCGUUUCUUGGGCCGCGCGAUCUUGGCCAGGAAGGUUCCGGUGAUGAAGAUCUCCAUGAUGGUGGUGAGCACCAGCUGCGUGAUGAGCAGCACGAUGGCCAGCGGGCAUUCCUCGCUGAUGUAGCGGAAGCCGUAGCCGAUGGUGGUCUCGGUCUCCAGGGAGAAGAGGAAGGCGCCGGUCAGCGUGUGCACCUGCAUGACGCACGGCGUGUGGUUGGCCGGCGGCUCGAACUCCAGCAGGUCGCCGUGCACCGCAGCCACCAGGUACCAGACGACGCCGAACGCGAACCAGGUGCCGGCGAAGGUGGCGGAGAAGAGGAGCAGCUUGUAGCGCCACUGCAUGUCGAUGAAGGUGGUCCACAGGUCCUUGAGGUACAGGAAGCGCUUGUCGGCGAUGUGCUCCAUGCGCACGUUGCUGCGGCCAUCCUUGGUCAUGACGCGGCGCCGCCGCAGCGCCGUGCCGAUCAGAGGGCGGCUGUCGGUCUGCGUGGUCUGGCUGUAGUACACCUUGGUGGCCGACGUCAUCUGGGGGGGGAUGGGAACAGGGUGAGGGGGAGAAACACAGGAGGGGGCUCAGGGGGAGGGGGAGGAAUGGAGGAAGGAUUGGAAGGAUGGAGGAGAGCGAAGGGUUGA
Long non-coding RNA from Coturnix japonica (Japanese quail), 1635 nucleotides. The record is from Ensembl. Lineage: Eukaryota; Metazoa; Chordata; Aves; Galliformes; Phasianidae.